UUCCCUAUGAACCCAGUCCUGCCACCAUCUUCUAGGAUAUCUGGUGAGGCUGUCACCUUAUCUGUUUUCUCUUAGUCUCCGUUACCAAGUUAAACAUAAUCACAUAAACAAUAAACAUGCACUCGAUAAUACAAUCAUAUCUUAAAUUCCAAAAUCACACAGUGGUCAAGUAAGAUAGUAGUACAUGCAUUUAAAACCAUAGAAUAGAUAAACCAGAUACCAUAAUGCAUUUAAACUGUAAAAUAAAUCAAGCAGGAAUCAACAGAGAAUAAUGUUCGGUUCGAGCUCCAUUAGCAACCUUAAUUAACUAUGCAUAUCUAUUUAAUUUAUACAAAAUACAGUAUUAUCAUUUAUUCAAACUUCAAUUCCAUGAUAGGAAAUAGAGUGAGGGGUCCUUACUUGAUUCAACGCCGAAAAAUAGAUUGUCACUACGCCUACGGGCAGUCCCUAGGUUCCCUGAACUUUUCUUCGGGAACUGAAACGCGCUUACGAUACUUACAGAUGUCCCAAAUAACCCAAAAAUCAGAUCUAUGGCCUACUCGGCCAAUUUAGAAUUCUGGCACGGCG
RNAcentral lists this long non-coding RNA (567 nucleotides) under Carica papaya (papaya). Its description in RNAcentral is "long non-coding RNA (CPAP_LNC014217)". Lineage: Eukaryota; Viridiplantae; Streptophyta; Magnoliopsida; Brassicales; Caricaceae. The record is from RNAcentral.